This 497-nucleotide ribosomal RNA is filed under the name uncultured bacterium. RNAcentral's name for it is "partial 16S ribosomal RNA". It matches the Rfam family "Bacterial small subunit ribosomal RNA", at positions 28 to 507 of the family's 1533-position model. The record is from RNAcentral.
GAUGAACGCUGGCGGCGUGCCUAAUACAUGCAAGUCGAGCGAACAGACGAGGAGCUUGCUCCUCUGACGUUAGCGGCGGACGGGUGAGUAACACGUGGAUAACCUACCUAUAAGACUGGGAUAACUUCGGGAAACCGGAGCUAAUACCGGAUAAUAUAUUGAACCGCAUGGUUCAAUAGUGAAACACGGUUUUGCUGUCACUUAUAGAUGGAUCCGCGCCGCAUUAGCUAGUUGGUAAGGUAACGGCUUACCAAGGCAACGAUGCGUAGCCGACCUGAGAGGGUGAUCGGCCACACUGGAACUGAGACACGGUCCAGACUCCUACGGGAGGCAGCAGUAGGGAAUCUUCCGCAAUGGGCGAAAGCCUGACGGAGCAACGCCGCGUGAGUGAUGAAGGUCUUCGGACCGUAAAACUCUGUUAUUAGGGAAGAACAAAUGUGUAAAUAACUAUGCACGUCUUGACGGUACCUAAUCAGAAAGCCACGGCUAACUACGUG